GAUUUUAGCAUGGAAUAAUGGAAUAGGACGGCGCUUCUAUUUUGUUGGUUUCUAGGGGAGCCGUAAUGAUUAAUAGGGACAGUUGGGGGCAUCCGUAUUCAGUUGUCAGAGGUGAAAUUCUUGGAUUUACUGAAGACGAACUACUGCGAAAGCAUUUGCCAAAGAUGUUUUCAUUAAUCAGUUGAACGAAAGUUAGGGGAUCGAAGACGAUCAGAUACCGUCGUAGUCUUAACCAUAAACUAUGCCGACUAGGGAUCGGGCGAUGUUAUUGUAUUGACUCGCUCGGCACCUUUCGAGAAAUCAAAGUGUUUGGGUUCUGGGGGGAGUAUGGUCGCAAGGCUGAAACUUAAAGAAAUUGACGGAAGGGCACCACCAGGAGUGGAGCCUGCGGCUUAAUUUGACUCAACACGGGGAAACUCACCAGGUCCAGAUACACGUAGGAUUGACAGAUUGAGAGCUCUUUCUUGAUUGUGUAGUUGGUGGUGCAUGGCCGUUCUUAGUUGGUGGAGUGAUUUGUCUGCUUAAUUGCGAUAACGAACGAGACCUUCAUCGUUAACUAGCCCGGCUCGCCUUGGCGGGUCGCCGGCUUCUUAGCGAGACUUUUGGCUUAAGCCAAAGGAAGUUGGGGGCAAUAACAGGUCUGUGAUGCCCUUAGAUGUUCUGGGCUGCACGCGCGCUACACUGACAGAGGCAACGAGUUUUUUUCCUUGGCCGGAAGGCCUGGGUAAUCUUGUUAAACUCUGUCGUGCUGGGGAUAGAGCAUUGCAAU
Molecule: ribosomal RNA, 769 nt
Filed under: uncultured fungus
Lineage: Eukaryota; Fungi
Description: SSU rRNA
Rfam family: Eukaryotic small subunit ribosomal RNA
Source: RNAcentral